Molecule: transfer RNA, 71 nt
Filed under: Caudoviricetes sp.
Lineage: Duplodnaviria; Heunggongvirae; Uroviricota; Caudoviricetes
Description: tRNA-Leu
Source: RNAcentral
AGCUGCUUAGUGUUAUGUGGUGAGCAUACUGGGAAAGUCUCAGAGGGGCAGGUUCGAGUCCUGUAGCAGCA